UACGGAGGGUGCAAGCGUUAUCCGGAUUCACUGGGUUUAAAGGGUGCGUAGGCGGGUUGGUAAGUCCGUGGUGAAAUCCCCAAGCUUAACUUGGGAACUGCCGUGGAUACGAUCAAUCUUGAAUAUCGUGGAGGUAAGCGGAAUAUGUCAUGUAGCGGUGAAAUGCUUAGAUAUGACAUAGAACACCAAUUGCGUAGGCAGCUUACUACACGAUCAUUGACGCUGAGGCACGAAAGCGUGGGGAGCAAACAGG
RNAcentral lists this ribosomal RNA (253 nucleotides) under uncultured bacterium. RNAcentral's name for it is "partial 16S ribosomal RNA". It matches the Rfam family "Bacterial small subunit ribosomal RNA", at positions 524 to 776 of the family's 1533-position model. The record is from RNAcentral.